ACGGGAGGCAGCAGUGGGGAAUAUUGGGCAAUGGGCGAAAGCCUGACCCAGCAACGCCGCGUGAAGGAAGAAGGUCUUCGGAUUGUAAACUUCUUUUAUGAGGGACGAAGGACGUGACGGUACCUCAUGAAUAAGCCACGGCUAACUACGUGCCAGCAGCCGCGGUAAUACGUAGGUGGCAAGCGUUAUCCGGAUUUACUGGGUGUAAAGGGCGCGUAGGCGGGAAGGCAAGUCAGAUGUGAAAUCCAUGGGCUCAACCCAUGAACUGCAUUUGAAACUGUUUUUCUGGAGUGCUGGAGAGGUAGACGGAAUUCCUUGUGUAGCGGUGAAAUGCGUAGAUAUAAGGAAGAACACCAGUGGCGAAGGCGGUCUACUGGACAGUAACUGACGCUGAGGCGCGAAAGCGUGGGGAGCAAACAGGAUUAGAUACCCUGGUA
Molecule: ribosomal RNA, 437 nt
Filed under: uncultured Oscillospiraceae bacterium
Lineage: Bacteria; Bacillati; Bacillota; Clostridia; Eubacteriales; Oscillospiraceae
Description: partial 16S ribosomal RNA
Rfam family: Bacterial small subunit ribosomal RNA
Source: RNAcentral